Molecule: non-coding RNA, 729 nt
Organism: Oncorhynchus mykiss (rainbow trout)
Lineage: Eukaryota; Metazoa; Chordata; Actinopteri; Salmoniformes; Salmonidae
Source: RefSeq, a predicted model, not a curated record
CUGUCUCAAAUCUCUAUUUACAGUUUCACCUCUCACUCUCCCUUUACACCAACUCCUUUGGCUCUGCUCUCUCUACCUUCUCUCUCUCACUCACUGCAGCUGUUGGUCCCGAUGAGGCGUUAUGUCACAGCGGCCCCUGCCAAUCAGGUGCUGUUGUCAAGGGAGAACAGAGCAGCAAAGCAGAGGAAAGGAAGUAGGAAGGGUGGAGAGGAGGAAGGGUUUGGUGUGUCCUGUGGUCUGCCUGGUGGGAGCUGGUGUAGAUUAUGGGUGUGUUCCUCUGCCCAGACGUUGCUGACGCAUUACAGAUCUAACUACACCUGGCAAGCGAUGAGAUCCAGAUCACCAUACCUCCGUGUUUAGUUCAUUUUCUUGGCCUGAACAACAACCACCACCACCACGAGAGUCGUGAUAAAGGGGGGACUAGUUGGAGUGUGACGGGGCUGGAAUGCACUGAUCCUGGGGAUGAGAGAGGGCUGGGCUGCUGCUUUGCCAUCUGCCCCUUUGUGUGAGAGGCUGGAGGGUGCAGGGAGGGGGUGGGCACAACAAGUGGCAACCCAUAACAAAUGAGAAAGGUGGAGACAGCUAGUGGUGGAAUGCAAAGAUUCAAUGGUGACCACAUGUUUUGUCUCUCGUUAGUUUUAAUCCCAGGUUAUUUUUCCACCCUUUUUUCUUUAGCCAUGAUUUGAGUUGUUUCAUUAAAACAUGCAUGAGUGAAUUAUCAUUCAAGAC